AUAUGGAGCUUCCACAAAAGGGAAAAAGUCAUGAGAUUGCCAUAUUAACUCCGACGUGGGGAUGGUAACGGGGUAAAACUCAUGCGUUCUUCUCCUCGUCUGGUUUUGGAGCGGUUUGCUGUGAUUCAGUUUGAUUGCAUAUUUUUCGUUCCCUAUUCCAUCGAUCAAAAGCCAAGCACAGUGAGAAGGAGAAACAAAUCCCACUAUCUCCAAACAACCUCAUAUUUAUUUGGUAUUGAACGGCCAAAUCGAUUUCCACUGCUGGGGAUUUCUUUCUUCCAGUUAUCGGCUGCAUCAUCGAGUGAGCAGCUCAUUUUUGUGCGCAAAGGGAAAAUGGUCCACUUGUUUCUGUCUCAAAGGACUUGUGAUGAUGAUAAUGGCGACAUUGACAUCAACGCCGGCGCCGCAAGCGGGAUGGGGUUCACUUCUUGAAGAGCUGGGUUCCCUUCUACGGCAAGUAAUUGUCGCCAACGGGCGGGCGGAGUCUCGUUUGUGGCUGUGCAACACCAUUGCAAGCAUAAAUUCGAUUGGGCCAAGAGAGCAGUGGGUGCUAUUCAGGAAACUAUUGGAAUCAAGCUCACAGAGGCGUCGAAUUGCAGCCCAAGUUUUGCAGUUGGUCUUCGAGAAGAAGCCAAUUGCUUGCGAAGAAAUGUUACAUGCUGGAGAAGUUUUUUAGUGACGAAUCUUGAUUUGGGAUGUCGCUUUGGUCCUUUGAAAAAGCGCAGAAGUACUAAAACUGAAUUUUGUGCAAGCUUUUGCUUCAAGUUUCCCCCUUUUCUUGUUGCAUUUGAUCAUUGAUUAGUGAAGACCCCCCUUCCUAGUAAAUAUAUUUUGCACGAGCGGGUUCAAGUCUUAGCUCGAGGGAACUGCUUGCAAUUGUUUAUGGCAUAAGGGGAGGCGUUAAGGGCACAUGUAUGGCCAUUACUUUUCUAAGUCAUAGUAAAUUUUGGAGAGAUGAAGAAGCGGUCAUUUCACUAAAAUUAUCACAGCCUACCUACUGCCACUGUUUGUUAGUAGCAGUACUCCGUAUACUUGUUGAGCUAAAGGCUGAAACUAACAUGCAUUUUAUAUGUACUGACAUGCACCAAUUUGCCAUAUGAAACUGUUUGCAUCAAGUUAAUUUGCUACCUAUGGAAGGUGUUGGCUUCUCCAUUCUGAGAUGCCUCUAUGUGCUGAAUUUGUCUCUUCCAGAUGAAGGAAUCUACCAUAGUUUAUCAUCAAGUUGUGUAUUUGUUAGUUUUCAGUAUCUAAUUUUAAUUUGUUGCUUAUCUAGUCAUUUUUCAAUGUUUUUUUUUAUUUUUCAUUUACGAUUUUUAUCAAAGUAUCAGGAUUUUUAUUUAUUUUUUAAAAAUUUGUCAUCUUUUUCCCGUUUUAUUCCUGAGAUAUAUAACUUUGCCGUUUUAUACCCGUUUUUUUUCUCGCCAUAUAAUACCCGUAUACGUUUACUUUGGAGGCAGGUUCAUCAUAUAUGUGUACACAUGCAUGCACAUGCACCACGGUUCCCAAUAUGAUCACCAUUGAAUUGGCAUGGACAAGUUGCAAACUGUGUCAAUGUCCAAAACAAAUAAAAAAGCUCGGAAAAAACAUUACUUGAGAAGGGGGAGUCAUCUCCAAAUUUAUACAAGGAGAACUUGAACUAGUUAUUGACCAGCUAAGAAAAGGUCAAGGUCUAAUCUUAAUUAAAAAAACUGAGGAAAAGAGAAAUGUAUAACAAUAAAUAUACAUAAGAAAAUAAAAUUACUGGAACAGAAAAACAAAUAUAUAAAUCUGCAACGUAUAGAUGUGUAUGUGUGCAACAAAGACAUAUAGACUAUGAUACAAGUAUUGUACAAAAGUGUGUUUAUAUUUGCAUGUGUGUAUGCAUGUAUUAACGACUGUGUUCUUGUGCUGAAAAUUUGUCGGUACUAGUCUGGCUCUUGAUCGUUGCAGCUGCCAAUGAUUUGUUAUAGUUGGUAAAUGGUCUAUUAUAUGCUGCGGGAAUAGAUUUUUAAUUUUCAAACGUACUUUCUUCAUGGCUUUUGUACAAGUAAUCCAGGGCGCAUUCUGCAGUGGUUUGGAAACUUUGCUACUUCUGGCAAGUAUGAGCACCAGAAGGGAGCUUGGGCAAUAUCCCAAUGUGCUUUCAUAAACAGAGACGUUUGCUGGGAGGAGCUCAAUGGAACGAGAAACAUGGUCAAUCACUAGCGAUGGUUGCUACGAAGCCACACUAUUUCCUUGAUUUGGAUGUGUUGAGGACAGUGGAGAAUUUUCUGGAGAACGUCCCUGAUUUUUGGGUAUCAAAUGAACUUGCAGAGACAUUAAAGGAUGGGAAAUAUUUCGUAUUGAUAUGGAGUUCUUCACUGAUCAGUUUACCCAUUUAAUGUAUGAAGAGAAUGCAGCAGAUGUAUGGGCUUCCAUUGAUGAAUUUCUAAAUGACGAGCAGUUCUCAAAUCUCUGCAACCUUCUCUUGAUUUUACUUAAUGAAAGUGAGCUGUCUGAGUUUAUGAUUCACAUACACAAAGUUUGUUCAAAUUUGCACUCUAAAGUUUCUUGGCAAACUGAAGGGGCCAUUCUCACCAUCCUUUUGGCUUGAAAUUUUACUUUUAACAAGUUCACACAAGCUAGCCAUUGAUGAAUUGGUUCUAUCAAAUGCAGUUAUUAAUCACGGUCGCCAGUUGCUAGGUCUUGUACAUAUUGAUGAACACAUUGAGGAAAAAGAUAAGACCAGUGAAAUCCUUUCAAAAAUAAAUAGGAUUCGGGAUGAAGCCCAACACUGGUCACUGAUGUAGGAAUGUACAAAAAUAAACAGAUUGGCAGCAAUGAAAUUACUUGGGCUUGAAUCUUGGGUGGUGCAUAGGCAUUUGGCUUUGCAAUGUAAAUCUUCAGAUUCAUGGGAAUCAUUCUUCCUUGCAAAUGGGAUUGGCUUUUGCAAGUCUGCCACAUAUUCGCUAGUUGGUCGUGAUGGCUCUUCACAUAAUGGUGGAAGUAGGACAGGUGAUAGCAGUUCAGCCAGAGUUCCUCGAAACAUAAAAAAAAGAGACAUAGGAAAAAGAGAAAAAAGUACCGUGCUGACUACGACCAUAGUUCCAGUGAUGAAUUGACAGAAAUAGCAAGUUCAACAAGAUGGGAAGGAUUAGGGUCAGAUGGAUGUUGGUUGGUCUCAACUGACAAUUAUUCCUCUCCCUGGAGCAGUGAGGUAGAAGACUCCAGCGGUCUUGGCUUCCAAAUUCCCUGUAUGAAACAUCCAGGGUGCCGUGGCAUUCCUUUUUGGAGCAUAUGCGCAGACCAAAGACAAUCAUUAUAGUGGUGGUGUUUUGGUGAUAUUGGUAUGGGAGCAUUGUAGAGUUUCGUUUCUAAUUGCCUGGUGGUGCCCAGUGCAAAACCACAUGAAUAUCUCCUAGUCCUUGCUAUCUGAAUUAGGGCUGUCCUUCAUUUGAUGUCCCAAAAAAUAUGGGAAAAGGAUAAAUAAAAAAAGGGAAUCAAGAGAUGAAGGAUGAUCAUUCUUCAAUUAAAUGUAGCACAUCAAUCAUUAGUCUCAUCCACAUGUUAACUAUUUGUUCACGCUACUCUGACAGCAAAAAGUUGUUGCAUGAACUUGGUAAGUCUUCUCGUGCAUAUGGAGAUCACUUGGAGCUAUGGAUUCUGUGCACUUCCUGUGACAUUUAUCAGAGGCUGCUCUUGAUAAAACCACAUUUCAAAGAUUUGUUCCUCGUAGCCUCUCAAAGGUUCUGUGCUUAGGUUUUAGGGGGCUUGGUUGUUCAUACCCAUGUAGAUUUGCUCACUUUGGCUUGCUUUAUGGUCAUCCUGCCAAAUGCUGCAUCUGGAUUUAACAUCAAACAACUAGGUUACAUUUUUUAUGCAUGGAGUUAUGGUGCAUCCUAUUUCGAGCUUUACAGUGGUUUUUGCACAGGUUGUAUUGUCUUAACAUUUAUAUUUUUCUUUUGAACUUAUCAAUUCAAUUGCUUCUUUUUUCUUGAA
Nymphaea colorata (pocket water lily) is the source of this 3957-nucleotide long non-coding RNA. RefSeq lists it as uncharacterized. NCBI's taxonomy places the organism in Eukaryota, Viridiplantae, Streptophyta, Magnoliopsida, Nymphaeales, Nymphaeaceae. The record is from RefSeq and is a predicted model, not a curated record. The transcript has 3 exons.